AGCGAACGCUGGCGGCAGGCUUAACACAUGCAAGUCGAGCGCCCGGAGCAAUCCGGGAGCGGCAGACGGGAGAGUAACACGUGGGAACGUACCCUUUGGUUCGGAAUAAUCCAGGGAAACUUAGGACUAAUACCGGAUAAGCCCUUACGGGGAAAGGAUUUAUCGCCAAAGGAUCGGCCCGCGUCUGAUUAGCUAGUUGGUGAGGUAACGGCUCACCAAGGCGACGAUCAGUAGCUGGUCUGAGAGGA
This 248-nucleotide ribosomal RNA is filed under the name uncultured bacterium. RNAcentral's name for it is "partial 16S ribosomal RNA". It matches the Rfam family "Bacterial small subunit ribosomal RNA", at positions 29 to 300 of the family's 1533-position model. The record is from RNAcentral.